RNAcentral lists this long non-coding RNA (12973 nucleotides) under Medicago truncatula (barrel medic). RNAcentral's name for it is "long non-coding RNA (MTRU_LNC004801)". The record is from RNAcentral. Lineage: Eukaryota; Viridiplantae; Streptophyta; Magnoliopsida; Fabales; Fabaceae.
AAGCUCCUGAGCUCCUUCAACAUCUCAUCAUAGGAGAGCAGACCAUCCUUAUUUGUGUCGAGCCGAGCAAACCGAUUUCCUACCGAGCUAUUAAAUGCUUCUUCAUCUUCAAGGAAAUGGACAAUUGUGGCACCAUCCAAAAUUUCUACACUCAUCUUUCACUUCUACUUGAUGUCAAAAAUGGAAGGUAGUUUGUAUUGACAAAUAUAGUUUUGUGUUUGCAAAUGCUUGUGAUUUGAUGAGAAGAGUUGGAUCCUUCCAUGUAUAUAUAACCAUUAACAAUUGUUUCCAGAAGAAUAUAUUCUUUAACUACUAACAUGGUAUAGAAACCAUGUGCUUUUUGUGUACCUUGCAUCUAUUAUUUUAUUUUAUAGUCCAACCGUUAAAAUUGGAUGCUUUCUUCAACUGUUGGCUCCUGAUUGUUGAAAUUGUUCCGUGUCGGUAAUCCACGGAUAUACCAAAGAUAUGAUGAUAUGAAUACAUUAUUUAUAACACUUACGUUUUAUCUAUGUCGUAAACUUAAGUCAGUUGGUAGAGACAUUGCGUAAUAUAUGUAUGAGCCAUAUUUCAAACUCUGAAUAUUUCAUUUAUUCAUCUGAAAAAGUUGAAUUUCUAGUCAUUAGAUUAUCUGACAAAAAAAACAAAAACUUAUGUUCUAUCUUAUAUUGGCAAAAAAAUUAAUCUCAUAACCUAGUAUUCAGUUCAAAUUCACUCGAGAAGUAUUGUAAAAUGAUAAUUAGCGUUACUUUAAUUAAUAAAAUAUUUUCUUCUCAAUUUCUAUUAAAAUAUAUUAUUUGCAUAACAAUGAAACUUCAGGUCGUGAAGUCAGCGUUGGAAGACUAAUGCCCUCGUUUUAGUGUAUGCCAAUUUCAAACGAGUAAAGUAGGUUGGAAAUAAUUUAUUGGACGUGGUGUUUUGUUGAAUGUCUUAAACAAUGGGUACCCAUUGAUUAUUUUAAUAUUAUUCAAAGAACUAAAAUUAUUAUGCUUUACAAAGGAUCUUCUUGGUUUAUUCUUCUUAUUUUUCUUUUCUUGUCGGAACAUUUUGCCUAGGGGUGGCAAUAUGAUCCAUGAGAUCCAUAUCCAUCCAAUUUAUCCAUCAAAAUUUUUUUUUGUUAAAGGAUUGGAUUUGAUCCAUCCAUUAAACACUAUGGAUGAAUUUGAUCCAUCCACCUUAAUUUAAAAAUCCAAUGGAUCACCUCUUUAAAUUAAAAAAGUUUAAUAGAUAACUUCAAAAAAUAUUAAUCUUUUUUAUUUAAAUAAUUAUAUUUUUGAUUAUCACCUUUUUUUUAACUAAACAAUUAUUUUUAAUAAUUAAAUCAUCUCUCUCCCACUUUUUUUAAUUUCAAAAACAGCUUAUUCAUGAAAAACAGUUUAUUUAUGCAAAACAACUUAUUACGAUCUCAUUUUCAAAAACAGCUUAUUCAAAACAAUUUAUUUAUGCAAAACAACUUAUUACGAUCUCAUUUUCAAAAACAGCUUAUUUAUGCAAAACAACUUAUUAAUAUCUCAUUUUCAAAAACAGCUUAUUCAAAACAACUUAAUUAUGCAAUACAGCUUAUUAUGAUCUCAUUUUCAAAAACAGCUUAUUCAAAACAGCUUAUUUAUGCAAAACAGCUUAUUACGAUCUCAUUUUCAAAAACAGCUUAUUCAAAACAACUUAUUUAUGCAAAACAACUUAUUACGAUCUCAUUUUCAAAAACAGCUUAUUUAUGCAAAACAACUUAUUAAUAUCUCAUUUUCAAAAACAACUUAUUCAAAACAACUUAAUUAUGCAAAACAGCUUAUUAUGAUCUCAUUUUCAAAAACAGCUUAUUCAAAACAGCUUAUUUAUGCAAAACAGCUUAUUACGAUCUCAUUUUCAAAAACAGCUUAUUCAAAACAACUUAUUUAUGCAAAACAGCUUAUUACGAUCUCAUUUUCAAAAACAGCUUAUUCAAAACAACUUAUUUAUGCAAAACAGCUUAUUACGAUCUCAUUUUCAAAAACAGCUUAUUCAAAACAACUUAUUUAUGCAAAACAGCUUAUUACGAUCUCAUUUUCAAAAACAGCUUAUUCAAAACAGCUUAUUUAUGCAAAACAGCUUAUUACGAUCUCAUUUUCAAAAACAGCUUAUUCAAAACAACUUAUUUAUGCAAAACAGCUUAUUACGAUCUCAUUUUCAAAAACAGCUUAUUCAAAACAACUUAUUUAUGCAAAACAGCUUAUUACGAUCUCAUUUUCAAAAACAGCUUAUUCAAAACAACUUAUUUAUGCAAAACAGCUUAUUACGAUCUCAUUUUCAAAAACAGCUUAUUCAAAACAACUUAUUUAUGCAAAACAGCUUAUUACGAUCUCAUUUUCAAAAACAGCUUAUUCAAAACAACUUAUUUAUGCAAAACAGCUUAUUACGAUCUCAUUUUCAAAACCACUUAUUUAUGAAAAAUAGCUUAUUACGAUCUCAUUUUUAUAAACAGCUUAUUCGAAACAUCGUAUAAUAAGUCGUUUUGCAUAAUUAAGUUGUUUUGAAUAAUCUGUUUUUGAAAAUGAGAUCAUAAUAAGCUAUUUUGCAUAAUUAAGCUGUUUUGAAUAAGCUGUUUUUGAAAAUGAGAUCAUAAUAAGCUAUUUUGCAGAAAUAAGUUGUUUCUGAAAAAGAGAUCGAAAUAAGCUGUUUUGCAUAAAUAAGCUGUUUUUGAAAAUGAGAUCAUAAUAAGCUAUUUUACAUAAUUAAGUUGUUUUGAACAAGUUGUUUCUGAAAAUGAGAUCGAAAUAAGUUGUUUUGCAUAAAUAAGAUGUUUUGAAUAAGCUGUUUUUGAAAAUGAGAUCAUAAUAAGCUGUUUUGCAUAAAUAAACUAUUUCUGAAAAUGAGAUCGAAAUAAGCUGUUUUGCAUAAAUAAGAUGUUUUGAAUCAGUUGUUUUUGAAAAUGAGAUCAUAAUAAGUUGUUUUGCUUAAAUGAGUUGUUUUGAAUAAGCUGUUUUUGAAAAUGAGAUCAUAAUAAGUUCUUUUGCAUAAAUAAGUUGUUUUUCAUAAAUAAGUUGUCUUUCAAAAGAGAUCCUAAUAAGUUGUUUUUAUAUAAAUAAGCUGUUUUUUUAAAAAGAGACCGUAAUAAGUUAUUUUGUAUAAGAUAAUUUUUUUUGAUAAUACACCUAUCAAAAAAAUUAAUACAAAUUUAAAAAAAAUAAUACAUCUAUAAAAAAAAUAUACACUUUGAUUUAUGGAUCGGGUGGAUUAUCCAUCCAUUAAAAUCUAAUAAUGGAUGGAUUGGAUGGACUUUAUUCUAAUUGGAUGGACUGGAUGGUUUUUUUUAAGAAAAAAGAAUAGUGGAUUGUAAUGGACUAAUGAACCUUUUUUGAUCCAUCCAUUAGGAUCCAAAUCCAUAUCCAUCCAAUCCAUCCAUUUUGCCACCCCUAAUUUUGCCCCGUGAUUAGUAGUAAAUGACGAUAAUAUAAAAUAUGCUUUUGAAAGAAACCAAACAAUAAUAACCAUUCAAAUCUUAUUCUACUAAGUAGCGUUUUUUUAGUUUUUUGUUGAAGGCAUCCUACUAUGUAGCCUUAGUGAUCAAAUGACCUGUCCCCGUGAGUUUAGCUCAGUUGAUAAGGACAAUGCAUAAUAUAUGUAAAGUCCAGGGUUCGAAUCUCGACCACCACCAAAAAAAGCGAUUAAAUGACAGCGUUAAUGUUAAUAUGAUGAUGUAUAAAGAACAUAUGCCUUGCACCAUAUACAAAGUUAUUUCAAUCAUUUGAUCAAUAAAUCUCAUUAUUUAAUUAAAUGAAAUAUGAUGAGAUUUAACGAUACAAUGGUGGAAAAUAAGUUUGUGCGUGGUACAAAACUAAUUUGCGUGUGCACAUUAGACAAAACCAUGUAUAUCUCUAUCUAACAGAUUCUCUGAAUCUUUCUUGAUAGUUUCUCAUAUAGUUUUUCUAGACAUUCAUUUACCUCUGGUGAUUUGACUAUCCUUCCUUAUUACAACACUCUCUACUAAACCAAUCAAAGCCGAGUUUUCACCAUAUUUUCUACUAUAGUCUUACCACAUUUUUAACACAACAUUCUCAUCUCUACUAAACCAAUUUUAUUCUUUUAUUCACUCUUUACCAUCCAACACUCUCUGCUGCUACUACAUCUUUGGUCUUAUUGUUGUACAAUAAAAAAUUCCUUUAUCUUGAAAAAUACUUUUGUAUUUUAUAAAACACACAAGAUCCUCUCCAUUUAAGACGCUCCACUUGAAGCCGAUUGUUUGCAUAUUCUACUUCUCUAUCAUUUUAGACUUUGUAUCAUUCAUAUAUAUAUGGUGUAACUCGUGGAAUGAUACGAUCUCUAACAUUUACUUGUACAUAGAAAUGUUCCACCUUUUGCUAAAAUCACAUUCCAUAUACUACGUAUAGCUUUCACUUAUGUAAAAGUCAUAAGUUUAUGGCUUGCUUCCAAGUCUCUAGCUUCCAAUUUAAUUCCUCAUCCGACUCUCAAAGUAUGACUAUAUCAUCUUUAAAAACAUGCAUCCUGGUGCCGACUCUUGAAUGUGAUUCGUAGGUACGCCUAAAAGUAAAGUAAAAAUAUAAGGACUUCAACUAGACCCUUGGUGAGUCCUAUAGUUAUGGAAAAAUAUUUUGUCCCCACCCUGAGUCCUUACACUAGUCGUGACCCCUUUGUACAUCUUUAUUUUCUAUGACUUUAUAUGCAAUAUCUUUUUGUACUAUAUCACACAUCAUCUACAAAUAAAUUACAACUAAGUGUAUGUCUUUUUGAUCCCUCAUAUGCCACAAUAAGUAAAACGCUUCCAUGUUGACCUCCAAGAUAUAAAAUCAAAUUGAUUAUCAUUAUCUUUACUCUUUUUUCUUAGGUUUUGCUCAAGCAUUCUUUCUCAUAACUUCAUAGCAUGACUCAUAAGUUUAAUCCUCCUAUAAUUUGUACAAUUUUAUAUAUCUUAAGUGUUCUUAUAAAUCGAAAUUAAAGUGUUUCUUUUCUAAUCAUCUGAGAUUUUCUUUGAUCUCUUAAUCUCGUUAAAACUUUGAGAGGCAUCCAAUGUCUCUAUGUCUAAGAGUUUUUCAUACCUUAAUAGGUACGUUGUCCGACUCAAUUGGUUUGUCAAUAUUCAUACUUUUUAGUGCUUCUUUUAUCUCUUGUUAUUGAAUUUGAAGAUAAAAGGUAUAACUCCUGACUCGAUUAUAAGAAGAAAAAGAAAUACUCAUAUUUGUCCGACUCAAACAUAAGCAAGAGUCAACUAAUUUUUUUUUUACUUUUUAAAUAUCUUUACAUUAAUUUUUUAAUGUUGUGAAAAGAUCAUCAUUAAUUAUGCAUAGUUUUUUGGGGAAUGGAUCCUCUGCACUGACCGCAGGGUUCAGUUAAAUCUGAGCCUUUGAACAAAAAUAAAUGCUUGGAAAUAUAAAUGUUAAAAUUUGAAAUUAGGAGAAAUAAUGAAUUUAAUGGUGUAGUUACAUGAAAACAAAAAAAAUUAAAUGGCCUUUAACUACUAUUUUCUAGUCAAUUAACCUAGUGAUUAAUGGUGAAUAAAUGAAGUGGUGAGGUUCAAACUACAACACCUGUUUUGAUGUAAUGUCCUUUUCAAUUGAGUUAAACUCAUUGAUACAUAUCAUCCUUAAUAUGCAUGAAAGUAAGUAAUUUUGCAUAUUAUUGAGUUUAAUGGGAGUAUAAUUUUGGCCAUCAUCUCUAAUGUCUAGUAUUUUAGAGUCUUUAUGUUAGAGUCCGAUUGAAUCUAAUAACAUUCAUUGGAAAUAAUCAUUCCAUCUAUCCUAAAAUUUUGAAUUCUGCUCUUUACCCAACAGUUUUUUCUCAUUCUCAACUGAAAAGACAAUUUUACACCUACGUAAGUUAACUGAUGUUAGUUCAAAAUUCUGCGUGACUUAAGUCAUGCCGCGUGAAUUAAGUCACGCUAGUGUUAAUAUCAACGUGAGUUAACUCACGCUAGUUCAAAAUCCUGCGUGACUUAAAUCACUAUGCGUUAAUGUUAAUCUAAGCGUGGGUUAACUCACGCAACUUUUGUGCUCGUACCAGAACAAUCAGGAGUGCCUUGUUCCCUGUUUUCCCAAGUUCCUUAACCAAAACUCACAAUUUAAAGAACAUUCAUUCAACAAUUCAUUAAAUCAUGCAUUCAUUCAUUCAUAAUUAAGAUAUGCAAUAUUAACCAAAUCAAACAAUUUCAAAUACUUAAAACUACCAAAUUUCACUCCAAACAACUUCUAAAAUACAAUUCCUAACUUAAUUCAUCACUAACAAUCAUAAAAACUAACAUGCAAGACAAAUUUAUAAAAACUUAAAAAUGUUAAAUUUCUUAAAAAAAAGGCUUAAAUAUGUAAAUCGUCCCUGUAAUUUGGUGUGUUUUUGGUUUUCGUCCCUGUAUCUUUUUUUGUUCUAAAACAACCCCUAUAAGUUAAUAACUUUUUUAUUUUCGUCCCUCUCGUCAACUUCCGUUACAAAAACGCACAUGUGGCAAACGGAGGAUGACGUGGUAGUGUCUGACGUGGCAAACUUAUUGAUGAGUCACACAGUAAAAAGGACGAAAAUCAAAAAACGAAAUUUGUCGAAGGACCAAAGUCAAAAAAACAAAAUUCGUAAAGGGACCAAAACAAAAACCAAAACCAAAAAACGAAAUUUGUAGAGGGACCAAAACCAAAAAACGAGAAGACGAAAAAUUCAAAUUUAAUUACAUUUCUUCAUCUUCUUCCCACAUCUUCUUCUUCAUUACUAUCAUUGUCUUCAUAAACUUCAUCAUCAUUAUCAAACAAACACGUAAAUUCAUCACUUCAAAAUCCUAAAAUCCAUCAACUCAAAACAACAACAAACUCAAUCUAACACCUUCAAUUAUACCUUCAUGUGAUAACUUCUCUUUUAUUUCUUCUCACAAACAACAAAAUCAAAUUAAACCAAUAUACCCACUGUUCAAUGUGCAAUCCAAUUUCACACACUUUAAAAUCGUUUAAAAUAAAACUUAUCUCAAUUCAACAUUCCAACAUAUUUUUCAAUUCUAUUUAUUAUCCCUGUAGAUCUUCAAAUGAAAAGAAUAUUCAUAUCAAACUUGAACCUUUUUCUUAUAAUUCAAUUUCACACAACAAUCUUUCAAAUAAACUGGAAAAAAAGAACACGACCCAAAUGUUCGAAACAAAAAUGAUGAGAUUAGAGUUCAAAGAAUUGACGAAGAAAGCAUUUGGAGUGACCAAGAAACAUUAGAGAUGCGAGAUCAAUGAUGAGACGAGAGUUGGUAAUGAAAAAAAAAUCAUUCUUUAGGUUUUUCAAUUUGAGAAUUUUGUGAAUUUUUUCAAUAUUGGGAAUUCGAGCAUUCACAAUGAGGAUUUUGUUGUUAUAAUUUGAUUUUGAUAUUAACAAUAAAAGUUUAUUUGAGACUAUGAACAUUGUGAAUUUUAGUGUUGAGAUGUCAAUCUGACCAUUGUCAAUGGAGAUUUUGUUUGGGUUUGUGAGAAGUUGUCUAUUGAGAAUGAGAUGAUGAUUUUGAGGUUUUUUUUUUUUUUUAUUUUUUUUUUUUUAUCUCUUUUAUGAGUAUUUUUUCCUGGGCUUUUUGAUGAAUUUAUGAAGACAAUGAUGAAGAUGUAAAAGAGGUGGAAGGAAGAAGAUGAAGAAAGCUAUUUUUUUCUCGCUUUUUGGUUUUGGUCCCUUUACGAAUUUCGUUUUUUUGACUUUGGUCCCUCUACAAAUUUUGUUUUUUUUUUGUUUUGGUCCCUCUCACUGGGUGACUCAUCAAUAAGUUUGCCACGUCAGCAUCGUCUGCCACGUCAGGCACUGUCACGUCAUCCUCCGUUUGCCACAUGUGCGUUUUUGUAACGGAAGUUGACGGGAGUGACGAAAAUCAAAAAGUUAUUAACUUACAGGGGUUGUUUUAGAACAAAAAAAGAUACAGGGACAAAAACCAAAAACAAGCCAAAUUACAGGGACGAUUUACAUAUUUAAGCUACAAAAAAAAAAACUAAUUUUUCAACCAAAAAAAUGCAAUGAAGUAGUUUAAUAAUCACUUACUUGAUAUGUGGGAGAAAUUGGCUUUGAAUGGCGCAAGAAUGAUGAAAUUCGGAUUUGGGGGCAAAAAAUUCAAAGUUGGGAAGUUUAGGAAAUAAGGGAACUGAGUUUUCGUUUUGCUGAUAAAUGACUUAAGUCAUGUAGCGCGAGUUAACUCACGCAGCCUGACUUAAGUCACACAAAGGACACAACUAGCGUGAGUUAACUCACGCAGGUGCAAUUUCGGAAUUUCAGUUGGGGGCGGGCAAUUUCUGUUGGGUAAAGAGCAGAAUUCUAACAUUUUUUACGUGAACCCUUCUUCAUCUUUCAUAUACUUCACUUGGUGCAAAUCUCUCGUCUUUCUUUCCCUCCCUUUAGCAAGCAUAUAUACUUAUAGAAUUUCCUCCCUUCUUAAUACUCAGGCUUUGUUUGGAUGGUAAAGGAAAGUUUAAGGAAAGAAAGUGAAAGUUAGGAAUGAUUGUUAUAGGAAAGAAAGUGAAAAGAAAGUGAGUGGAAAAUCUAAUGAUUUUUUAGUUGUUUGGUAUGAGUGAUAGUGAAAGGAAUGAAAGAUUUAUAUUUAAUAAAAUGACUAAAAUAUCCCUAUAAAAAGGUGAUAUGUAUAUAAUUUAAAAUUAUAAUUUUAUUAAUAGUUAAAAACUACAUAACCGUACAAUUUUUAUUUUGAUAGAACACAACCAUAAGAAUUUACUUUCAUUACUUAUAUUUUAAUUUUAAUUUAAUAUAUUUUAAUUUAAUGUCACAUUGAAAAGCAAUUGCCUUCGUGGGCUUUUAUAUAAUUUUGCUCAAAAUAGUGCAAUCACCAUACUUUCUAUUCUCAACAGGGCAUAAACAUUUUUGGUGUGGGACCCAUCGAUAAAUACCUUUCCUCCCCCUUUUUAUGGUGGUUCCAAACUAAGGAAAGAAUGUUAAUCCUACUACUUUCUAUCCUUCCUCAAUCUUUCCUUCUACUUUCACCCAAAACAAACAGGCCCUUAAGGAUUGGUAUGACCUUCACAAACUUUAGAACAUUCUAUUCUCAUUUUAAUUAACUUUAUUAUGCACCCAUUCAUUCCAUCACCACCAAAAUUCUUUACCCCUACGUCCAUAACCUCUUUGAUUCUCGCAACGUCUCUUCUGCUACUUUAUUAAUCCCUCGUGCCAUCUUGUCUCAUAUAUCAUUUCCACUUCACCGUGACCAUCUGAAACAUCCUUCUAAAACCUUGUGUGGGAAGAUAAUUUAUUUUUCAGUACUCAAAUACCACUUGGUAUAAAAUGAAUAACUUUCAUUUUGGUGAAUCAAAUUUUGGUUUUCACGUGAACUUUGUUUAGAUGCUUUAGAUGUUGGGUGAUAUUAAUUACUUACUGCUUGAUGGAAAUUGUCAAAUUCUUCAUAACUUUUUUUUGACAAUGCACAUUUGGAAUCCAUACCAAAGAUGUAAAAGCUCAGAUUAUGAUAUUUUAGUUUAUUUCAUGAAUACAUUCGGAAUCCAUAAUAAAACAGUUUUAAGGAGUUUCAAACUUCAAAGGUAUCAAUAUAACAAUACAAACAAAAUUGGAAUAGCACUUAAGCUGCCACGUUAUUGUACUCUCUUUCAACAGCUUUUUUGAGGAUGCUGUCUUUUUCCAAGACCAUUUGAAUUGGCAUGAAACCCAUCCCAUCUGCCAUUGCAAGCAUCAUCUGCUUAGUUUCUUUCUUGAAUUCUUCCAAAUCAAUUGUGCCAUUCAAGUUGUGAUCGAACUGUGUGAACAAAGAUUCAUAAACACGAGCAAGCUCAUUUGGGUCUGAAACCACAUCAAUACCAAAGUGUGUUUCAAAAACCCUCAAGCUCCGGAGCUCCUUCAACAUCUCUUCAUAGGAGAGAAGACCGUCGUUGUUUGUGUCGAGGCGAGCGAACCGAUUUCCUACCGAGCUAUUAAAUGCUUCUUCAUCUUCAAGGAAGUGGACAAUUGUGGCACCAUCCAAAAUUUCUACACUCAUCUUUCUUUUCUACUUGAUGUAAAAAAUGGAAGGUAGUUUGUAUUGACAAAUAUAGUUUUGUGUUUGCAAAUGCUUGUGAUUUGAUGAGAAGAGUUGGAUCCUUCCAUGUAUAUAUAACCAUUAACAAUUGUUUCCAGAAGAAUAUAUUCUUUAACUACUAACAUGGUAUAGAAACCAUGUGCUUUUUGUGUACCUUGCAUCUAUUAGUUUAUUUUAUUGUCCAACCGUUAAAAUUGGAUGCUUUCUUCAACUGUUGGCUCUUGAUUGUUGAAAUUGUUCCUUGUCAGUAAUCCACGGAUAUACCAAAGAUAUGAUUAUAUGAAUAUAUUAUAUAUAGCACUUACAUUCUGCAUGUCACGUUGAGCUUAGCUCAGUUGGUAGGGACCUAUGAAGUACGAAUAUGGACACGAACAUCGGACCCGACACAGACACACCGACACAACUAAUAAUUUGAAAAAAUAACAUAAUUCAGUGUAGUUACAAGUGCCGGUGUCGGACACGACACAUGUCCGACACCGAGACACGCCUAAUCCAAUUUGUGUUUCAUAGGUAGGGACAAUGUUAAAUAUAUAUAGACUGUAGUUCAAACAACCAAUACUUCAUUUAUUAAUCUCCGAUAAGUAUUUGUGCUUCAUAGGUAGGACAAUGUAUAAUAUAUAUAUAUAUACUGUAGUUCAAACAACCAAUACUUCAUUUAUUAAUCUCAAAUAGGUAAAUUUUUAGUCACUAGAUUAAUUGAUGAAUUUUUUUUUUUUACAUUCUAUCUAAUUGGUGAAAGAUUAAUCUAGUAACUUUAAGGUAUUUAGUUCAAAUUCACUGGAGGAUUAUUGUAAAAUGAUAAUUAGCGUUACUAUAAUUAAUAAAAUAUUUUCUUCUAUUAAAAUAUAUUAUUUGCAUAAUAAUGAAACUUCACGUCGUGAAGUCAGCGUUGGAAAACUAAUUCCCUCGUUUUAGUGUAUGUAUGCAUGUCAAAUGUCAAACGAGUAAAGUAGGUAUGAAAUAAUUUAUUGGACGUGGUGGUUUGUUGAAUGUCUUAAACAAUGGGUACCCAUUGAUUAUUUUAAUAUUAUUCAAAGAACUAAAAUUAUUAUGCUUUACAAAGGAUCUUCUUGGUUUAUUCUUCUUAUUUUUCCUUUCUUGUCGAAACAUUUUGCCCCGUGAUCAGUAGUAAAUUACGAUAAUAUAAAACAUGCUUUUGGAUGGAACCAAAACAUUCGACUAAGCAGUGUCAGUGAUCAUAUAACAUCAUAGUGUUAAGUAUAUGAUGUAUAAAGAACAUAUGACUUGCACCAUCACAAAGUAGUUUAUAUCGUUUGAUCAAUAAAUCUCACUAUUUAAUUAAAUGAAAUAUGAUGAAAUAUGAUGAAAUUUAAUGAUCUAAUGGUGAAAAAUAAGUUUGUGUAUGGUACAAUUCUAAUUUGCUUUUGUACAUUAGACAAAAUCAUGCAUAUCAAUCUAUCAAAUUUUCUAGAUCUUUUUUAAUAAUUUUUGAUAUAGUUUUUCUAAACAUUCAUUUACCUCUAGUGAUUUGAGUGUCCUUCCUUACUAGAAAAAUCUGAAGGUUUUCUUUCCACAUGCCCAAACCACCAGAGCCGAGUUUUCACCAUAUUUUCUAUAAUAGUCUUAAUAGUCUUACAACACUUUUAACUCAACAUUUUCAUCUCUGCUACACCUAUUUUAUUCCGGUGUUGGUUCUUUACUAUCUAACACUCUAUUGCAUACUACAUCUUUUGCCUUAUUGUUGUACAAUUAACAAUUUCCUUUAUCAUGAAAGGUACUUUUGUAUUUCAUAAAACACAUGACACCUUCAUCCAUUUAAGACACCCAUCUUGAAACUGAUUGUUUACAUAUUCUACUUCUAUGUCAUUUUGGACUAUGGAUCAAACAUAUAUAAAUUGAGCAAUGACAUUUGCACAUCUAUUUAAUGAUAACUUUGAUGACAAUUAUGUUUUUCUCUCUUCUUAUUUGGUAAAAAACAAUAUAUAUAUAUAUAUAUAUAUAUAUAUAUAUAUAUAUAUAGAGAGAGAGAGAGAUGAUAAGAACAUCAUGUAAGUAUGAGAGAACAUCAUGGUUGUAUAAAUUGUGUACCUUGCGGUAUGAUAUGUGAUGUGUGAAAUCCGCAAGUGCACGGUUCUAUUGAAGUAGUAAAAAUAUCGUUCCAUAGGGAGUUGUUGUAAUUACUGAUUUACUUUCUAAUUAAGAUUAGCUAAAAAGAAUAAAGUUUAAAAGUUUGACUGAUUAACGGUAUAAAAUUCAGAAUUAAAAACGGCUCGGGAUUAUUGGUUCGUCGUGGACAAACAACUUUCAAUCCAAACCUAUACCUUCCUCUUAUAUUAGAUUUAUUUUCUAAAUACAGAUUUCUCUAAGGUAUUUCAUAUCUCCGUUCGGUCUCCAUGAAUGUGCCUCAAUAACAACCACACAUAUUCUCAUGGUUGAUUACUAUUGAAACCCUUUAAGAACGAAACCUAUGGCCUCAAGACUUCAUAAAACUAUUCAUCUGGGGUGUUCCCAUCGAGUUUUAUGUUGUCGUGUCUAAUCACAUUUAUUUUGGGUUUGAGUUUGGUUUUACCGGAGACCCAUUUAUUUUUAUGGGUUUUCCAUUUUUAGAAACCAUACCCACCCAAUUACCUAACCCAACCCAUUUUUUGGAGUUUUUUAGGUGGGUUUGACCGGAUUUUCUUGGUUGGCCCCUAUAAACAUCCUUAGGUACACUCUUACGUAAUCAGAGACUUUGGGUAUAUAUAUGAAGUGAUCAAUGAAUUUACGGUAAAAACUUCAACUAUUUUCGGAAGUACAAUACAAUCUCAAAAUAUUUUUUUGUUAUUUCUUGUAGACGUUUGGAAUUCAUAACAAAAAAAACCAGUGGUAAUUAUAAUAAUAACAAACAAAAUGUUAAAAAUACUAGAAUACUUGGUUAAAUCUCAAAAUAGUAUUUACGCUGCCACUUUAUUAGAGUCAAUUUCAACAGCUUUUUUGAGGAUGCUGUCUUCUUCCAAGACCAUUUGAAUUGGCAUGAAACCCAUCCCAUCUGCCAUUGCAAGCAUCAUCUGCUUAGUU